This 240-nucleotide ribosomal RNA is filed under the name uncultured bacterium. RNAcentral's name for it is "partial 16S ribosomal RNA". It matches the Rfam family "Bacterial small subunit ribosomal RNA", at positions 524 to 763 of the family's 1533-position model. The record is from RNAcentral.
UACGUAGGUGGCAAGCGUUGUCCGGAUUUACUGGGUGUAAAGGGCGUGCAGCCGGAGAGGCAAGUCAGAUGUGAAAUCCGCGGGCUCAACCCGCGAACUGCAUUUGAAACUGCUUCCCUUGAGUAUCGGAGAGGUAACCGGAAUUCCUAGUGUAGCGGUGAAAUGCGUAGAUAUUAGGAAGAACACCAGUGGCGAAGGCGGGUUACUGGACGACAACUGACGGUGAGGCGCGAAAGCGUG